Long non-coding RNA from Erinaceus europaeus (western European hedgehog), 305 nucleotides. RefSeq lists it as uncharacterized. The record is from RefSeq and is a predicted model, not a curated record. The transcript is spliced from 4 exons. Lineage: Eukaryota; Metazoa; Chordata; Mammalia; Eulipotyphla; Erinaceidae.
AUUGUCUGAAUUAACUUUUAUAGUGAACCCCACAACCUUUUGUUUCCUAUGGGUUCUAUUGUGUGACUCAAAGGGAAUCAAUAAACAAGACAAAAGGAUGAUUAAAAUCAAGAAUAAUGUGUGUGGUUCCAGAUGAUCACCAUCCAUUUUGUUUAAGGCAAGAACCAUCUUCCCAGGGUCAUCAAAUAGCCUUUCAAAGAGCUUAAGGGAUAUAGAAUAGUAACUGGGACAUCGAAUUUGAAAGAAGCAAUAGCUCUGUUUUGGCGAAUAAACUACAGGGUAAAAGAAGAAGAAGAAGGAGGAGG